RNAcentral lists this ribosomal RNA (496 nucleotides) under uncultured bacterium. RNAcentral describes it as "partial 16S ribosomal RNA". It matches the Rfam family "Bacterial small subunit ribosomal RNA", at positions 29 to 507 of the family's 1533-position model. The record is from RNAcentral.
AUGAACGCUGGCGGCGUGCCUAAUACAUGCAAGUCGAGCGAACGGACGAGAAGCUUGCUUCUCUGAUGUUAGCGGCGGACGGGUGAGUAACACGUGGAUAACCUACCUAUAAGACUGGGAUAACUUCGGGAAACCGUAGCUAAUACCGGAUAAUAUUUUGAACCGCAUGGUUCAAAAGUGAAAGACGGUCUUGCUGUCACUUAUAGAUGGAUCCGCCCUGCAUUAGCUAGUUGGUAAGGUAACGGCUUACCAAGGCAGCGAUGCAUAGCCGACCUGAGAGGGUGAUCGGCCACACUGGAACUGAGACACGGUCCAGACUCCUACGGGAGGCAGCAGUAGGGAAUCUUCCGCAAUGGGCGAAAGCCUGACGGAGCAACGCCGCGUGAGUGAUGAAGGUCUUCGGAUCGUAAAACUCUGUUAUUAGGGAAGAACAUAUGUGUAAGUAACUGUGCACAUCUUGACGGUACCUAAUCAGAAAGCCACGGCUAACUACGUG